UCCCCGGUAGCUCAAUCGGCAGNNGGGUGGCUGUUAACCACUAGGUUCGCGGUUCAAGUCCGUGCCGGGGAGCCA
RNAcentral lists this transfer RNA (75 nucleotides) under Desulfovibrio sp. Its description in RNAcentral is "tRNA-Asn". It matches the Rfam family "tRNA". From Rfam's summary of the family: Transfer RNA (tRNA) molecules are approximately 80 nucleotides in length. Their secondary structure includes four short double-helical elements and three loops (D, anti-codon, and T loops). Lineage: Bacteria; Pseudomonadati; Thermodesulfobacteriota; Desulfovibrionia; Desulfovibrionales; Desulfovibrionaceae. The record is from RNAcentral.